UUUAAUUUAUUUUCAAUGCCUUUUCAACGAACAUAUAUAUAGUUUUGAACUUAGAUGGUUAAUCGGUUUGUCAUGGUUAAUCUACUUGCAGAAAGGAUUUGUGUACCGUGAGAACCACAGUUCACCAGGAUAUUAUGACGGACGUUACUGGACAAUGUGGAAGUUGCCUUUGUUUGGAGCAACUGAUGCUUCUCAAGUGUUGAAGGAGCUUGAUGAAGUUGUUGUUGCUUACCCUAAUGCCUUUGUCCGUAUCAUCGGAUUCGACAACGUUCGUCAAGUUCAAUGCAUCAGUUUCAUUGCACACACACCUGCGGUCUACUAAAUUUGAGUGUUAAAUCACUCUCAGCUGCCAUUGGAAGAACAUCUUUUUCUCUCAAUUUGUUCUGAUUGUAAUGUCUUCCUUUGUUUUUUGGUUUUCGCUUUCGGAUUUCAAAAUGCAAAUGUAUGGAUAAGAGUUAAUAAAUGAAAUGGUACCUUUUUCAUUCUCAAGUUAGUAGUAUAUGUUGUUUUCCUUGUAAUGGCUUGAACUUGAAACUUUAAAUAACAAAGGAACUAAUAGUAUGAUAUUAAAGAAAAAAAAAUUGCAUUUCCACCUAAUUCAUUCUCAUCUUUACCAAAAUUAUGCACAAUCAGUACAUCUUUGCAAGAAAUAUUUUUGACAGAAAUUAUGAACUGAAUAUCGCUGGCGCUCCAAAAAGCAAUCCGCGGUCUCAAACUCAUCUUCAUACGCUAAAUUUUAGGCCUUAGCUUUUACUGGUUGGGAAUUGCAAUUCCUUGCAUACCUUCAGCAUGAUUUCCAUUUAUUUUUUAUUUUCUAAUCUUCCUCAUGCAGUAACAGCCAAUUCACUCACUAUAUGGCAGCCAAUUCCAUCUUUUACGAAUGGAAAAAAUACAUUGAAAUUGACCGUCACAUUGUUAUGGAAAAAGUUUCAACCGCAGUUUUUGCAAUGUCGACUGCCUAUUUCCGCAGUCGAUCAAGUGGCAGACCUGCUCACAAAACAUCUUGAACCUACCCACUUUAAUUGUCUACUUGCCUACCUGAAAGUUCUAAAUAUACAAUACUCAUAUAUUAGUAACUAAAUGAAGGGACUAAAUUGUUAGUGCAAGAUGUGUUUCUUGCACUCCUAGGAACUAAAUGAAGGGACUAAAUUUGAAAGAAACACUAUGAGUGAAUUAUAUUGAUUAUGAAAACUGAAUGAAUGAAUACAUGGGAUACAAUUACAAGUAUUUAAAGACUUUUCUAAUUACUUGAAUCACAAGUAAACUAACAAAUACAAACCAACUUGUUAGUUACUAACCACCAACUUCUCUAACAAACUAGUUGUAACUAACUACUACUUUGUAGUUGAAUUAAUCCACAACAAUAAUACCUUAGCUAAAACUUUAGCUUAAACAAUGCAAGGCAUUCUAUAUUGGUGAUUUUAUUCAUGAGUAAAGUGGACAUAUUUCAAAAAGUAAAAGGAAAUGAUACUAAGAGCCAAAACCAGCUAUAACUUAUAGAAGUGUACAUGUUUUAAUUUUUCAAUAAAUCCUAGAAAAAGUGAGAGAUUCUUGAAGAUUAUAAAUAAUGCUGAAGAUAAAUAGAUCAGAAAUUAAUAUAACCUAAUAAACAAGACUUAAAACUUCAAGGUAACGUCUAUCCGGUAAUGGUCUUGAGCAAGUUCAGAUGGUGCGACGACAUGCACCUAUUUUUUAAGGGCACCAAUAAUCUCUUAUUAAUUUUUUAGUCCUAUGAUAAAAGACGUUGUAUGUAAAGGUUGGGGACAGUAAUCGAUUAAAUUAAGUUGUCCUGCUUUAAUUUCUAAUUUUUUUUUAAGAAUGUUUCGAGAGAUGCUAGUAUCGAACCGAGUACCACAAAGUUGAGAGGUGAUUUUCCAAUCAAGUGAUCUCUCUUUUUACUGGCAUUUUUUCUAAGAAUGUUGAUUGUGAAGUGAUGGAUGAUCAAUAAUUUUGCAGAUAUAAAUGCAAAGAUGAUAAAUUUAAAUGAUUUCGAAGAAAAAAAUUUCUCGGAUCAUAUAGAGCAUCCAAAAUCUCAAGGACAACCCUACUUCCACUAUUAAGUUCUUCUUACUUAUCAUAGUCCACCUUUCAUAACUUUGGAAAAAAAAAUAAAGGAAAAGAAUGAAGUUGUAAUUUUAUUGCAUUUUUUAUGGACCUAUACAACCAUUUUUAAGGGAGAAUAAGUGCCAUUCUUUUGGUUGUUCCAAAUGUAAGUAUCUUCCACGGUAUAAUUGAAAUUGGCGUGGAUGUGAUUUAUGUGGUCAGAGGUCGUAUGAGAUGACUGGGUAUAGAGAAUAUGCGUGUGAGGAUCAUUAGCCGAGAGAACAUAUUUAACCGUAAGCUGAAUGUCAUGAAUAUCUAUAUAAGGAACAAGAGACCCAAGAAUUCCAAGAGUUGUCCAUUGACUAAACCAAAAGGAUGAAGACCCAGACUCAGCACGCCAGACAUAUCAUGCUUUAAGAACAUUUUUAGCUUUGAUGAUGGAGGACGAAGUGGGAGAGCCGUUGGGGCUAUCAGUUGCUUGAGAGGAGGUUUGCCAGAAGAUUGAAUCACGUCCAACACUAGCUUUCCUAAAAGGCAAGUAUUCGCCUCCCUAGCUGAUCUGAUUCCAAGGCCACCAAGAGAUUUAGGACGAGAAAUCUUUUUCCAACCUACUAAAUGAAUGCUUUUAUCAUUUGUACUUCUCUAAAUGAAAUUUCUAGUUGUUUGAUCAAUGUUUUCACAAAUGGAUUGAGGAAACCAACUAAUCUGCAUGUAAUAAGAUGGAAUGGAGGAAAUAAUAGAAGAAAGAAGAGUUAAUCUAUCAGGUUUAUUCAACAAUCUAUUAUUCCAGGAUACCAAUCUUGUUUGCAUUUUCUCAAUAAUAAAAUAGAAAUUAUUCCUUUUCACCCUUCCUUUCAGAAUAGAGAAGCCUAAAUACUUAUCAGGAGAAAUAGUGCUUCUAAUUCCUGAAAUAGAUGUCAGCUUGUUAAUCUUAACUUGAGGAAUGUUUGAGAAAUAGAAAGCUCUAGACUUGGACAAAUUAAUUUUCAAUCCUGAAGCAUGACUAAAGCGGUCAAAUAAAUUAGAAAAGACUCUUAGCUGAGAAUUUCUUGCCUUAGAAAAAAGGAGGUCGCCGUCCGCAAAAAGAAGAUGGGACAACUUCGGCCCUAAGUUGGUGAUGUGGAUGGGUUCCCAGUUUCCUCGGAGGACAACGUUGUUGAUGGAAAUUGAGUGUUUUUCCAUACAAAGAAUGAAAAGAUAUGGUGAGAGUGGAUCACCUUGUAUGAGGCCAUGAGUAGGCUUGAAGGGAGACAUCUUUUUCCCAUUCGAGAGGAUAGAGAAAGUGGAGGAGGCAACGCAAUGCAUGAUAAGAUUGGUUGUGAUAGUAGAGAAACUGAAAUCUUGAAGAGUACUCUUGAGGAAGUCCCAGUUGAAAAUAUCAAAAGAUUUCUCAAGAUCAAGUUUGAAAGCAGCAGAACCUUUUUAUUUUAGACCUUCUCAUAAAAUAAAAGAUUUCCUGCAAAACAAUGGCAUUGUCAGAAGUGCUUCUGCCUGGAAGAAAGUUGCUUUGGUAGAGACCAAUAAUAAUAUCAAGAAUCGGUCUUAAAAGAUGGAGUAAGACUUUAGUGAUAAUCUUGUAGACAAUAGUGCAGAGGCUGAUCAGUUUAAAAUGUUUAUAAGUGGUGGAAGGCCGAUUUGACAAGACUAAAAAUAUCGUCCCCAACUAUAUGCCAAUAUUGUUUGAAGAAAAUGCAUUGGAAAUCAUAUGGACCCGGCGCCUUAUAAGGCUUCAUGGAAUUCAGGGAUAUAACAACCUCCUCUUUAGUGAUUAAAAAUGAUAGAGUUCUCUCGGAGGUUAUUAUCAUUAUAUAUUAAAUUCAUAUAAUGGAGGUUGUACAUAACUGAUAAAUUUGAGAGAAUAAGAAUAUGAAAAGUGGCAAAUUUUUAAGAAAGGAUGAGGAGAUUUUUUAGAGAUGCCACACAGGAACAAUAGAAGUCUAAGGUUAAUCGAAGUUUAGAAUUCAAGAUAGUAUAGAAGAUAGAUAGAUAGAUGAUAGGUAACGAUUAUUUAUGGAAUUUUUUGAAAAAUACUCUCUAGAAAAACGAAAUACUUUUUAAUUUUGACCGAAAAAAAAUAAUACUUUUUAUUUACAUUUAUUUUAUACGAUUGAGUCAAACAAAAAUUUAUUCCAUGUUUUCUCGAUAGAUGUAUAUAUAGCACAAUUGAGGUCAUAUUCAUCUCAAACAAUAAUAGUUUUAAGCAAAAGAGUAGUGCUAUAUGUCCCGAUAAGAGAUAAAGUUCUAAGCAUGCAUUUUGGCGAAAUACAAGGGUGGGUGGCCAAUGAAAUAUCGUUGUGAGACAAUCACGAUGUAUGGUCUCGUGAUACUAAGCAAUUUCCAAUUCAAAAAUGGAGGUCUCACUCUACGAUAGAGUUUCAAUCAACCCUUUUCUCGAUUAAUGCAUUUCGAUUUUAGUUCAAAAUUAUUUGUUGUAGUCUUGAAUUGAUUUUUAAUUUUUUUUCUUCAGGUUUUACAUCAAAAAAUCUCACGGCGUUCGCUUCCUCCUCACUAGCUGAAAAGAAGAAGGUUAUGUUCAUAACGGGUACAAUUAACACUUGAAAAACUAUACUUUUCAUCUACUUAGGUACUCAUUUCCACUAUGAAACCAUCAAUUCAAAUAAAAUUCAAAUUUAUUAAGAUCUUGACUUGACACCAACUUGGUACCAUAAUUUGAACGUUGUUCGAUUUCACAUCACAUAUUAUGCAUCAUCAAUGAUACAUAUAUGAUUUCCCUAUGAUUAAUUUUUGCAAACACAUGCCUGAAACUCUAUAUUCAUAGCUGAAAAAUGGACAUCUAACCAUUAUUGUAGGAGGGUCACGUUCUUACAUUGAAAUAUUAGUUGAUGACCCAAUCAUUGAAUUUUGUUCAAAAUGUUAUUGUUGUUUCAAAAAUCAAUCACAAUGAAAUCAUAAUCCUAAUUAUUGCUGACGCCUAAUAUGUGAUGUCGAAUCGAACAAUGUUCAUACUCUAAUACCUUGUUGGCGAAAGGUCAAGACCCGUAUAGACUUGAAUUUUAUCUGAGUUGAUGAUUUCAAAGAGGAAUCAAGUACUUAGGUAGAUGAAAAAAAUUAUUUUUUCCAAUUCCAAUUGCUUUCGUUAUGAACAAAACCUUGUUCUUUUCGGCUAGUAUAUUGAGGAAAAAAAAGACAAGAUUUAUUUUAUUUUAUUUUUUAUGUAUAACCUAAGGAAAAGACAAUAAUACAAAUAAGGCUUAGACACACUUUUGACCCCCUAACUUUAAACUAGUUGCAAUCUUGACCCCCUAUUAAAAAAAAAACACAUUUCAGUCCCCUAAGUUUCCCCCUUUUUGCAACUUUCAAUUUUGAUCAUUCAAACUCAACCAUUUAGGACAAUAAAAAUAAGCGGGGUAUUUUGUUUAGCAAGUUUCAGGCGAUCUUGACCUUCUACCAUCUUGAAUGGUUGAUUUUUAAUGAUCAAAAUUAAAAGUUGUAAAAAGGGAAAACUUAAGGGACUCAAAUGUGUUUUUUUUUAAUAAGGGGACAUAAUUGCAACUAAUGUAAAGUUAGGGAGGCAAAAGUGCGUUUAAGUCUAAAAAUAAUUUAAAUAUACAACAAAUGAUUUUGAACUAGAAUUGAAAUGGAUUAAUCUUAUGCAUGUUGUCAAUAAGGAUACUAUGUAUAUGAAGAAGAGAAUCAAUUGAAACUUUAUUUGUGCUAUGUAUAAUGAUGUAUGAUAUAUGGAGAGAGGGACCACUAUAGGCGAGUUUGGAAUCAAUUUUGCAGAAGGUUCAUGGAGGGCGGGUUUAUCGUUGUAGGCGUGGUAGAGGUCUUAGGACUAUCCCGUAGUUUUAUGGUCUUGUAAUAGUAUUUUGAACAAAUUUGAUGUUUUUAAUUUGAUGUUUAAAUAUUUGUUUUGUAUCCUACAAAUAUUUUGUUUUUAAUAUUAUUUUUGAAAAUUGUGUUGUUUCUUAUCUUUUCAUUAUAAUAUUUUAUUUAUUCACAAAUGCAUGUUUAUAUCAAAUGAUUAUGUAAUCUGUAUGUAUUAGAGUGAAAACAAACUCUAUUUCUAUUCUAAUACCUUUCGGAUUAUAUAAUUCGAACAUUUUUAUGACAUUCAGAUUAUAUAAUCUUAAAUAUGCGUUUUUUUACACCACAAUUUCCCCUUCUGGGGUGUUUGCUGCAUUUUUCUAAGAAUGUUGAUUGUGAAGUGAUGGAUGAUCAAUAAUUUUGCAGAUAUAAAUGCAAAGAUGAUAAAUUUAAAUGAUUACGAAGAAAAGAAAAAAAAAAUCUCAGAUCAUAUAGAGCAUCCAAAAUCUCAAGGGAAACCCUACCUCCACUAUUAAGUUCUUCUUACUUUUCAUAUUCCACCUUUGAUAACCUAGGAAAUAAAAUAAAGGAAAAGAAUGAAGUUGUAAUUUUAUUGCAUUUUUUCUGGACCUAUACAACCACUAUAUGCUCACGUUCCUACUUAGAAAUUAAAAUUAAAUUGUUCUAAUUCAAUGUUAUAAUCAGAAAACUAGCUUUGAAGGAAGGAAAUGUCUUACUCGAUAUGACUUUGUCCACCGAAACUGACAUCAAGGGGGGAUCGAACGUGAAACUUUGAGAGAAACAAAUUCCAAGAUCACAAAUUAACCACAAGGUCAACCCCAAAUGAGUUUUUUUGGUUACCAUUAGAAAACCGUGUAUAUUUUAACAUAAUUUGGAUGAUUAAUUAUGUGUAGUAUAUGUGUAUUUAAACACUUAAAAAUGAUGGCUAAUUGUAUUCAUUUAAUGAUUAAUAGAUUGCUACCAAAUAUAAUUAACCACAUCUUUGCAGUUUGUUACACCCAAAAAACUAACCACAUAUUUGAACCAUGUUAACCAUCUAAUUGAUGUCAAAUUUGUUUGUCAAAGUAAUACAACUCAUCAUCGAUUUGUGAGUCUUGACAUUUUCUACAAAUAAAUGUAUACACAAACCGAUUGCUAUAAAUAUGAUACACUUAUUCUUUAUCCCUAUGAGGAGCCAAAGCCUGAAAAAAAAACUAGUACCAUACACGAUUGAUAUUUUUAGUUUUUUGGUCAAGUGGUUUAUAUUUAUGGAAGCAUUAAUAGUCACACAACUACACGUGGCAAUUUCAUAUUGGUGGCUAAAGAUAAGGCACCACAAAAAUUUCCAAUCUUGUUGUGUGGUUAAUGGCUGCAAUGUUUAUCAUUUUCACAAUCAAACAAAAUUGUAUUAUGCAGCAACCAGUUACCACAAUUUUUAGAACCAUAAUAUUGGAAAUACAAAAAUAAAGACAUUAUAUAUAGCAAGUUUGAGUAUAGGCUUUGAAAUUCAAGCAGAAGUAUAUCUUACAUUACUAGUGAACUAAGUAAGGGAGAAAAAAAAUGGCUUCCUCUAUGAUUUCCUCUUCAGCUAUGACUACAGUUAACCGCGCCUCUUCGGUACAAUCCGGCGCGGUGGCUCCAUUCGUUGGACUCAAGUCCAUGGCUGGCUUCCCAGUUACAAAGGUCAACAAGGACAUUACCUCUAUUACAAGCAAUGGUGGAAGAGUAAACUGCAUGCAGGUGAGAAAAAUAAUAGGCCUACUAUUUUAGUUUAUUAUUAGCAUAAUGGAAACAAUUUAUGACAUGUCUGUAAACUGUUUUCAUCUUAUAUUUUCAUAAGCUCUUCAGGAUAGUAGGAUAGUUUAUGAAAACAGCUUAUAGAUUAUAUGAAAAUAGCUUAUAGAUUCAUUGAGAAAUGCACACAAGUUUGUUAACCCUUUUGUUCAAUUUUAGGUGUGGCCUCCUAUUGGCAAGAAGAAGUUUGAGACACUUUCAUACCUUCCACCAUUGACCAGAGAACAAUUGGCCAAAGAAGUUGAAUACCUUAUAAGGAAGGGAUGGGUUGCUUGCUUGGAAUUCGAGACCGAGGUCUAGUUUUAAUUUAUUUUCAAUGCCUUUUCAAUGAACAUAUAUAUAGUUUUGAAUUUAGAUGGUUAAUUGGUUUGUCAUGGUUAAUCUACUUGCAGAAAGGAUUUGUGUACCGUGAGAACCACAGUUCACCAGGAUACUAUGACGGACGUUACUGGACAAUGUGGAAGUUGCCUUUGUUUGGAGCAACUGAUGCUUCUCAAGUGUUGAAGGAGCUUGAUGAAGUUGUUGUUGCUUACCCUAAUGCCUUUGUCCGUAUCAUCGGAUUCGACAACGUUCGUCAAGUUCAAUGCAUCAGUUUCAUUGCACACACACCUGAAGUUUACUAAGUUUGAGUAUUUAAUCACUCUCUGCUGCCACUGGAAGAACAUUUUUCGUUGUUUUUCGAUUUACGCUUUCGGAUUUCAAAUGCAAAUGUAUGGAUAAGAGUUAAUAAAUGAAAUGGUACUUUUAUUCAUUCUGAAAUUAGUAGGAUAUGUUGCUUACCUUGUAAUGUCUUGAACUUGAAAUUUUAACUAACAAAGGAACCAACAGUAUGAUAUUAAAGAAAGAUAAAUUACAUUUCCAGAUAAUUCUUUCUCAUUUUCACCAAAAUUAUGCACAAUCAGUACAUCUUUACAAGAAACUUUUUUGAGCAGAAAUUAUGAACUGCAUAUCGUUGACGCUCCAAAAAGCAAUCCACGGUCUCAAAGUUAUUUUCAUACGCUAAAUACUAGGUCUUCGCUUUUACCUUCUGAAUGACAGCCAAUUUACUCACUAUAUUGCAGCCAAUUCGAACUUUUAUGAAUGGACAAAAUACAUCGAAAUUGACCGUCAUAAUUUUAGGGAAAAAGUUUCAACCAAAGUUGUUGCGUGAUCUUACUGCCUAUUUCCGCAGUCGAUCAAGUGGUAGACUUGCUCACAAAACCUAUUGACCCUACGCCCUUUAAUUGUCCAGUCUUCAUCUGUUAGUAGAUAAUCCUUUUGUUUGGCUUUUCAAUCAUGUUUGUAUUUCCUAUUCUAUAACUUCCAUCAUGAAUAACAUUUUAAGUUCUUCACAUUUGAUAAUACCUUAGCUGAAAAAAUGUAAGGCUCUCUGCAUUGGUGAAAAUAUUUAAAAGAGUAAAUCAAAAUGAUACAAGAGCCAAAAACCAGAUUUUACUAUUCAGAGUUUGCUAUUUAUUUAUAGGGCAAUGCUAAACCGUGCCCCCAGAGGCAAUGGUUAAGCAUCCAAAACAAGAAAGUUUUCACAAAAAAAGUAAUGUAAUCGUUAUUUAGUCAAAAGUGAGACCUUAUGUUUCCAAGACAAAAUUUCUAUUCAUGGAUUCCUUAACCAAUGCCCAAGAAGCACUGGUUAACAAGACCCUUAUUUAUAACACUCCUUCUCAACUUAGUGAGUGGAUAUAAAUUAUUCCAAGCUUGCAAGUAAAAAGGUUGAAUCAUUCUGUCGGACAGAAAACUCUUUGUUAACACAUUUGUCUGUUGAUGCCCAAAAGGAACAUAAGCUGUAGUUGUCAGUUCUGUUGUGAAUUCGGUAACUUCAAAUCUUACACCAAUGAAAUUUAGAUUUGUGGUGAAGUAUCAAUGUAAACUAAUAACCACAAGCAACAACAACAAUUUUAGAUCUAAUCUAAAAACUAAGUGUAAAGCAAAACCACAAUCGAACAAAAGAAGAAACAAGAUAAAGAGAAUAGAGAAAAAGAGCAACGCCAAACAACCGUUUACCUAGUUCGGUCUAUCAUUGACCUACUUUGGGAAAGAGAUCAAGUUCCUUACAAAGAGAUACAAAAAAGGGUUACAAGAAAUUCGCUUCAACAAGUUCUCCAAGACAAAACCUAAUUUCUACCUUUUUCCCAAUCUCAUUCCAUGAACAAGAGACUCAAUGAUUUCACUCACCAAAGGUGUUUCCCAAUUGUUUUUCAACUCUAGAAUCUAACCCCCCAAAAGAGAACCAAUCCAUAUCCUUUGAUUUCCCAAAAAUAUUCUCUUUUGGUUUUCCAAGACUCACUCAAGUUGCUCGCAAAACUCUCCUUUGAUGUGUUUUCCAAAAGGGUCUUGUUACAAGUGUCCCCGGGACACUCUUUAAGCAUUCCAAAAUUAGUAAUUAUUUUUUAAAAAAGUUAAAUGUUUCGAUUUCCAAUGCAUUGAUUACACACUUUUUUAUAAAUACAUACUACUUAUAGUCCUUAAAGAGUGUCUCAGGGACACUUGUUAACAUUUCCCUUUCCAAAAUUGUGCCCCAAUUUUCCAAUUCAUACACGAUCGAUGCAAGGGAAUGUUAUCCAAAAUCAUACCCCAAUUUUUGUCGAACCAAAACUCCAAUUGAACUUCACAUUGUAUCUUCAAAUAUAUAUUCCAACACUUGUUUCAUCCAUAAUAGCUCACAAAUUCCUAGUGCCAUAACUCUAUAUUUUUCCUCAACGAUUGAUCAAUCAACUACACUUUACUUCUUAUUCCUUCAAGCAAUAAGGUUCUCACACAAUAAUGUACAAUGGUUAGAAGGAAAUCUUCUACUUGCAUGACCCACCCGCAAACCGUACCGGAUCCUCAUGGAAUAUUGCAUAACACUUUAUCGUUCCAACUUAUCACUUGGCUGUAUCAAUUUGUUUGAUAAAGUUUCAUCUGAAGUAUAUACUAUACACACACAAAAAUAAGAAGAAUUUCAAAAUUCAUUCUAAUACUCACAGCACAUUCCUAAAAAAAUAUAUAUAUAUAUAUAUAUACUCAUAGCACAAUAUGUGCCUAAUAUUAAGAAUAAUAACAACAGUUUAAAAGAUCGAACGACAUGUUGUUAAAGCCAAUGAUUUAACAAUUAACACUGAUUUUAACCAUAGAUUUGAACCUGAUUAUGCUCUAUAAAAAAUAAUAAAAUGAACAACACCUUUGUAUUUUGACACAUGUUAUAAACACAUCACUAAAACAGCACAAUCAACUUUCAUUUCGACUCUUUUUUGUUCGCAUCAAAGUUAGCUAGGAAAUAGCAAGCACAAAUGUACUUUUAAUACAAACAAUUAAUGGAGACGGAAAAAUCAAUUGUAGUUUUAUAACCAAUAGAUAGCCAAAUCCUAUCCCAUAAACAUACUCCAUAAUAAACAAACCAACUAUGAAUGAACAUAAGUUAUCUAUUUUAGAAGCAUUCAUCAUCCAAUAUACAUUAUAAUUCAAGCCUUAAAUGCUAACACAUUUAAGCUUCUUUGCCAAAAAAAAUUCAAUCGUUACUUUCUUCACAAUAUAGACCCUUCAAGAACAUCAACUUCUCCGUGGAUAACUCUUUAGAGAUAACACAUGCAAAACAAAACGCGGCAGUUGGAGAGCAAAUAACAAAAAGUGAUGAAGAUAGUAAUGGAGAGCAAGCAUGGAAACUACAACAAAAGUAUAUAUAUAACCAGCCUUCCUUCAUCAUACGUAUAAAUAGGACAAAAUAAUCCUUUUGUAAGUUGGUUUGUGUUUUAGUGGUUCACUUAUUGGUAAAGCACAAUAGCCAUUGGAGGUACUAUCUUGUUCCAAGAUUAAUUUACAUGCUAGAGAAACAAAUAUUGGAGUUCCUAGAAGAAAAAAGAAUACGGCAGUUGAUGUUGAUGUGGGCGUGAAACAUUGAUGGAAUGAAAAUGUGAUAGGCAAGAAUUGGAGUCCCUAGAAAUUAGAGUUCCAAGGUUAGCUUGCAUAAGAGAACGGACGAAAGGAUGGAAUGGAUGAUUAGGAAAGUUGAACAUUCUUGAUGAGGCCAAAGACAUUGAAUACAUAUUGGCGCCUUCCUCGUCUCUAAUAUAUAUGCCAAUACCUACUCGAUUGUCAUUAUUUGAAAAAGAAGCGUUUAUGUUACAUGUUUAAUACAUUUAUUACUAUAUGAUAUGAAUAUCUCUCAUAUUCUUAAAAAAAUAAAAUCUCACAUAUUUAUUUGAUAAUUAUAAAAUAUAUUUUUCAAUUAGUUUUUCUUGUUAAUGUGAAUAUGAUUUGAUAUAUAUUCGGUAAUUAGUUGAAAGCAACAUAUAUAUUAGAAAAUAUGAUGCAAUAAUAUUUUAAAUAAGUUAUAAUUUUAUUAUAUGGUCUAUGAAGCCCAGAUACAUGAUACGAUUCGACACCGAUACGGGAAAAUUUUAAAAUAUAAGAUACAAUACGGCUUGGAUAUACUUCAAUAAAAAAUUAAAUUUAAACUACAUAUUAAAACUCAAAACACAAAAUAUGGACUAAAACUCAAAAGCAAAAAAAUUGGUGCAAAACCCAGACCAAACAAAAUAGAAAAAGGAUAAGGCACAACAAUGAAAUUGCCUUCACACAACAAUCAACAAUUUCAUCGUUCUCAAACAAACAAAGAGAGAUGAAAGAGACGACAACAACAAUAGAAAUAUAAAUGUAACUAAUAUUAAUAAUAAAGAAAGCGAAAAUUAGUCAAUUACAUAUGUGAUAUAUCCUAAAUAGAAAACAUCAUUACUUAGUCAAUUACAUAUAUACCAAAUAUGAUAGAAACAUCAGGUAGCCCGCACAUAUCAGUUUUCCACCUCCUAUCGCUCUUAUCCCAGAUGUAUCUGAAAAGUAUCGCAUAAUUGUUUUUUUAAAAAAAUAAAAUUUCAUAUUCGGAUACUCUCCUGAUACGUAUCGAGAAGUAUCAAGCAUGUAUCAGUGCAAGAUACACAGGGGAUAAUGUUCAUCAUCCAUUUUGAAGUAUCUGGACUUCAGAGUAUAUGGUACAAAAUAUACAUGUGAAUCAAAAAGAAAAUAAUGACGAAGAUUAUGAAGUUUUUGUGUUUUUUAAAUGUGUGAAAUUUUAUUAAUUUUUUUAUAAAAAAAGUUUAUUUAACUUUUAUAUUAUGAAAUUUAUAUCAUCAUAUUUUUUUAUAAAGAUUGGGUUAAUAGUUAUGCGGUCCGAUCAAUGACCAAUUGAUCCAACCAUUGACCUAAUGACCCAGUGUUUUGGCCGAAUCGACUACCGGUUCGGGUUUUUAAAACACCGGAUUCACUGCAAGUAUUGGGUCAUUUACUCAUGUAAUUCAUUGUUGCUGGGAUAACUAACAUAUUUCAGGUCCUCCUCUAUGUCUGACCCGAAUUCCCAUAUAGAGAGAUAUUUUAAAUAGGAACCAAACGCAAGUACUGGACAUAACAAUAUAAGAUAGAACAACACAUCAGAAGGUAGAACAACACAUGACAAAUUUUUAUGGCAUUGAAUAAUUUUUUGUUUUAUACAAUUUUUGGGUACGAAAUGCUAUUUUUGUAUUUUUGACAACCUGUACGUGAGACAAAAAGUUGUGAUGUGGUUUGAUGAGGGACAAAAAUAUCAGCUUUUGUCAUGUCCCUUGCCUCCAGUUUGUCCUGUACAUGAAACAAUUUUACAAAUCAAACACUGGACAACUGAAGUUGUUUUGUCCUAUCCUUUAUUUUUUAGCAAAUCAAAGGCACCCAUUAUAUUAUUUCAGUGUUUUAGCUAUUUCUAUCUCAUAGUGGAUUUUCGAUUUUGCCAAAACCGAAUCAAUUCAUUGUUUAAGAGGACUAUGAUUCAUCUCCUUCAUAGAUGCUUGCAAGUAUUCUUAGUUUUAUGUUCGAAUUAGGGGAUGUUUGGUUUCUUACUAAUCCGCGGUCAAUGUUUGAAUUUCUGUACUAAUACAUCCAUAAAAACUUGAUUUGUUUUGACAUGUGGACAAUAGCAAAAAAGUGUCCUUUUUUUAAGGAAAGCAAAAAAGUUUUUGAACAAGAGGAAAGCAAAAAAGUGCCCUUAGCAUUUAUUAAAGGAAUACAAAUUUUAGAUGGUAUUCUGGUUGCUAAUUAGGUAGUUGAUGAAUCUAAAAAAUUGAAAAAAGAAUUGCUUUUAUUUAAAGUCGACUUUAAGAAAGCAUACAAUUCAGUUGAUUGGAAAUAUUUGGAUGAUAUUAUGGUUACGAUGUUGUUUCCGACUAUUUGGAGGAAAUGAAUGAAAAAAUGUGUUGGGACUGCUACUGCGACUGUUUUAUUGAAUGGUAGUCCCACUGAGAAAUUCACUUUAGCUAGAGGUCUGCGACAGGGAGAUCCCCUUUCACCUUUCUUGUUCCUUCUGGUGGUUGAGGGGUUUCAUGUGAUGAUGGAGUCUAUUGUUAAUACUAAUAAUAUUUUUAGUGAUUACAAAGUAGGGGGUCGGCCAUUAACUAUUUAUAACCCUCAGUUUACGGAUGAUAACUUUGAUUUUGGGGGAAAGAAGUUGGGCUAAUGUUCGAGCUAUGCAUGUCACCCUUCAUCUUUUUGCAGCGAGGUCUGGUUUAAAGGUUAAUUUCCACAAAAGUGAGUUAGUUGGCAUAAACAUUGGUGGGUCUUGGUUAGCUAAAGUUGCGGCGGUUUUGAAUUGUAAGGUUACAACAUUGUUUGUUUUGUAUGUGGGCCUCCCUAUUGAUGGAGAUUCUCGUCGAUUGAAUAUUUGGGAACCGAUGGCUAAUCGUAUUAAGUCCCACCUGUCAAGUUGGAAAAGUAGAAAUUUUUCUUUUCCAUUUGUUUGGACAUGGAAGUUGGUGUUUUGGAGGUUAUGAGAAUCAGAGAGUUUAAUUUAACGUUGUUGGGUAAGUAGUGUUGGAGGCUGGCGGUGAAUUGAAAGGGUCUCUGGUUUAAAGUCUUGGUUGAGAGGUACGGGGUUGUUGGGGGAGGUUGGAGGAGGGUGGUAGGGAUGGAUGAGUGUGGUGGAGGGAGGUAGCAGGCAUCCGUGAUGGCGUAGGUGCGGGUGAAGGAUGCUGGUUCACUGAUAAUUUGCGCAUUAAGGUUGGUAAUGGUGCCACCGCUUUGUUUUGGUUGGAUAUGUGGGUGGGUGAUGUUCCUCUUCGGGACAAGUUUCAUCGUUUAUUUGAUUUAUCAGAAAAUAAAGACUCGCCUAUCGCUCAAAUAUUUUCGUUAGGGUGGGGUGAGGGAGGGGAGGCUUGGAAGUGGAAGAGAAAAUUAUGAGCGUGAGAGGAGGAGAUGGUAGAUGAGUGUAGGGUGUUACUGCUGACUGUUUCUUUGUAGGGUGAUGUUCAUGAUGUUUGGUCUUGGGGUCCUGAUCCAAUUGGUGGGUAUUCGGUCAAUGGUGCAUGAUGUAGGAGGGUUUCCAUAGUAUUUUAUUAUUUCAAUCUAAUUUUAUUAUUGGUUGUUUUGUUUUCAGUUUUUUUUUUGCCCAUUAGGGUUUUGUUAUUUCCCUAGUUAAGCUUUAACAUUGUAGGCCAAAGAGGCAACUUUUAUUCAUUCAAUAAUAUUUUAGAGAGUUUUUCUCAAUUUUUGGUGGAUUAUGGAACCCUAUUUUCACAAGUUCAUCGCUUACAAACUUGUUCCUUUCAAUCUAGGUUUAGCGCUUGCUAGCCUAUCCUUCCGUACUAGUCAGUUGGUAUCAGAGCAGGUUUCUCCUGUUCUUUUCCUAACAUGAUCAGCCAUAGGCCGGGCAGGCCUUGAGGGAGUGCAAGGUGCUCAAUCAAGCCGGGCCUCCAAAAUCUAUGGGCCUCCGAAAAAAUUAACUCUAAUACCCACCCCACUUAAAUAUAAAAAUAUAUAUGUUACUUCUUUACACGUUUGAGUUUCUUCUAGACUUUAGUUCUCCUAUCUGGACAUAAAUUUGGUACUAUCAAACCACUACCAAUUGGUAUAAUGACUUAAUCAGUCAAUUUGAAAAGUUAUUUCAUAGAAAGAAUCACAACAAUCAUUUCUUUUUCACAUAAACCAUUCGUUUUCCCCUUUCCCACAACGGAUAAUUGACAUAUUCAAAUGACACCGUUUGUAAAUUCUACCUCUCUUUCACUUAAUUUUUUUGUAUUUCGUUUCAUGUUUACAAGCUCUUCUGAUUCUGAUUUUUUAAUAAAGCUUAGCUACACAAAAAAAUUACGUUUUUAUUUUAUUGGGGAUCUAUUUUAAAUAGAGAGCCGAGCCUUCUAUUUCAUAGGGACGGCCCUAUAGGUGAUCAAAAUUAAAUGGAAAGUUUAGUCUUCUUUAUCAUUCCCUUCUUUUCAAUUAAAGUUGUCGUCCCUCUAAAUUUCCAUUCCCUAUUUCAAUUGUCGUUCAAGUUAUUAACUUCAUCCAAAGUCCAUUUAUUUCAAGUGCUGCUACAUAUUACUUUCUUUUUUCAAUCGAAUUGCUGGCUGUUGUGUAUCAUAUUUUGCUGGUGGCUGUUUGAAUUGAAUUUGCAUGGUUAGAAAUUCAACAUUAUGUCGUGCCCUUAUAAUCUACCUCCUCCGGUCCUAUAUAUAAGAAACAAUUUACUUUUUUGAUUCAUUGAAUAGUUGAUGUAUUUGGUCUAUUUCUGAACUAGGUACAUCAAUUAUUGAAUGAAUCUAAAAAGUUAACUUUUUCUGAUAAAUAAGACCGGAGGUAGUAUAUGAUUGCCGCAACCAUUCUUCUUUUUAAUUAAAGUUUCCAUCUAAUUAAAUUUAAUCCAACCAUGAGAGAUCAACAGGUCGUGAUUUUAACUGCGGCCAUCAAAGCACUAUCAGAUCAGAUGGCAACGUUGAUAGCUAAGGUUGACGAGAUAAAAAACAGUAACAACAACAGAAAUGAUCCGAACAGAGGAGGAGGAUCAAUUCCGGUUAUUAGGGUUCGUAAUAACAACCAUAUUAUUGUUAUGUAUCGAAAAUUAGAACAUACUCGUGAAGGUGAGAAAAAACACAAGAAGGGGGGGUUGAAUUGUGUUUUCUUUUUCUCUCUAAAAAAUACUUCUUCUGAUAAAAACUUCAGAAGCAGUUUGUGAAUGCUUCUGAUGAAAUGAUCAGAAUCAGAUAUGCAGCGGAAAAGAUCAAAGCAGAGAAAAGAAAAGCAAGACACAAGCAGUUAUCCUGGUUCCUUCCACAAAAUGGAAGUAGUCCAGUCCCCCUUGCACUUCCAAGGAGAUUUCACUAUAAUCACAAAGAUUACAAAUGCUCAAUACUCUCUAAGUAUGAGACUUCUCAAAAAUGCUCAAGCACACACGCAAGAGUCUUCCAAUGCUCAAGCACUAAGCAAGAGUCUUCUAAUGCUCAAGCACGCAGGCAAGAGGCUUCUGAUCAAACAAAAAUACAAUGAAUUAAGUUUGACUUGAACACUUGAUAUACAAUCAGUGGUGUUCACAAUACAAUACAAUAAAGACUCUAGACUUUUGAAUUUCUAAGAUGUAUCAAAUCAGUGCAGAAAUUCAGUGUGCUUUGUAGAAUCAAAUUGACAGAGUUUUGGCGCUUUUUAACUUGUGUAUCUCUAUCUACAAUCUUCAAGUCUUCACUCCUUUAUAUAGAGGCGUGAAAGAGACGUUGAGAUAAUUAGCACGUCUAAAGAGUCGUUUGAAAUCCUUUGAUCAUUCACCAGUAAUCCUUUGCCUGAUUUGGGUGUAGUCCUUUGAAGAAUUAGCUUCAAAUUCAUUCCCAUCUUGAAGGCACAAAUUCUGCAGGCAUAGCUGUUGUCUUGUCUUGUAGCGUGGACAAAACAGAGUAGUGGAGGUAGUGGUUGUACACUUGUACUUUGUCAACUCUGUUAACGAAGGACAAAUACUCAGUGCUAUCCAAAUGACCGUUGAUACCUCCCUUUCAAUUCUUCGUUCUUCUUAGAUAAUGUUGAAAUGAGAAACAGCUACUUUGGAUCUUCAGUUUGAAUUUACGGAUAAAAUGUAGCUUCUGGUGAUGAUAUCGCUUCUGAUGAAAACCUUGCUUCUGAUGAGCUUCUGCUUCUGAUGACGUCAUCACUUCAGAUGCACUUCAGCUUCAGGAGCACUUCAAGCUUCAGACGCAGUUUUCUUCAGAUGCUAUGAAUUCCUUUGCUUUCCAUUGUUCUUCCAAGACCUAUUGAAAUUACUUGACUAGCAUUUGGUCCUGUAUACUUGAACAAUAAUUAGAAAUAACCAAUUGACAAUUUUUAAUACCUUGUUAUCAUCAAAACUCAUUAAGGUUCAUUGUAAAACACAUUUUGUUCCAACAACUCGUGAAUCUGAACAAGUUGAAGGAUGAUCAUUACGAGUUUAAAAUCUCCGAUUCGAUAUAUCGUUGUCCGUUUUGUUACAACAAGGAUUCCUUGACCGACCUUUUGAGACAUGCUUUUAGAAUUGCAGGUAACUUGCGUAAGACGGUUAAAGAUAUUGCCAAACAUUCAGUUUUGAUAACAUACAUUCUAAGGUAUCAUAAUGUUAAUGUUGAUAAAAAUAAGCCACUUGAUGUUAAUAUUGCUAGUGAUAGCCACUUGGUGUCGGUAUUGCUAGCGGUAAGCCAGUUAAUUUGAGUGUCGUUGAUCAGAAGUCGCUUGGUAUGAAUGUAACUAAGUGUCAGCUAGCGAACGUGAAUGUUGUUGAUAGUUUUGUUGCCACAAUGGAAGAAUACAUUAAGGAAUCCACCAAUGAGAAGAUUUGUACAACAUAUUUCUCUAAUAAGAAGCCGCGGUUAUCCUCCGAUGCAUGCUCAGAGAUGCCAGAAAUAAUUAUCACCGAAAUUGAGAGUACGAUGGAUGUUAAUCCUCCAGAAUCUGCUGCGAUAAUCAUCCAGGCUUCAAUUAGAGGAUAUUUAGUUCGGAGAGCACUUCUAAAGAGUAAGAAUGUAGUGAAGUUGCAAGCUGUUGUUCGCGUUCACUUGGUUAGAAGGCAUGAUGUUGGAGCAUCGCGAUGUAUUCAAGCUAUUACUAAAAUGCAAGCUCUGUUUUCAGUUCCGAAUCACAAUUCAACAAUGGGAUUAGGAGUCAAUAUUGCAAGAAUGAAAGGGGGUGAAAUUUAAGGAAGAUGAUUCCCAGAGUAUUGACUGUGAAAUAGUGGAGAAAAUGGAAGCUCGAUAAGUGCCAUAAUGGUUAUUCGUGAAAUAGAUGAUGGUCAAUAUUUGAUGCUUCGGAAUAUGUUACCUCUGAUGUGAUUCAAACACCACUUGAAGUUUUCAAAAGCAUGGAAGCUGAUGGGUUUCCCAUUAAGCGUGGUCGUGUACCCAUCACCUAUGCACCUGAUAUUUUGGAAAAUAAUAUUUUGCUUCUGCCAAAGAAUCUGAGCGUUAUGAAUGUCACCAAACCAGAGUUCACCAAAGAUCAAAAUGUAUAUCCUAAUCAAAGCACAAAACUCUAAUGGGAUGAGAAAUGGAAAUAGUUUUGAUGCUGGAACAGUUCAUACUACUAGUUUGGACAUAACUUCUUUGAAUUUCAUUCAAUGGGAUCGUGGAGGGUGGUCGCUUUGUUCAUUGGAGGAGUCAACAUUCAUGGGAAGCUCUUUAUCAGAAUAAGAACUCGGGCUCGAGUUCUUCAGAGGUGGAGGAGACUCAUGCACAAGAGUUUCCAUAGUAUUUCAACCUAAUUUUAUCAUUUGUUUGUUUUGUUUUCAGUUUGUUAUUUUUGGCCCAUUAGGGUUUUGUUAUUUUCCUAUUUAAGCUUAAUAGUUGUAGCCUAAGAGACAACUUUUAUUAAUUCAAUAAUAUUUUAUAGAGUUUUCUCAAUUUCUGGUGGAUUCCGGAACCCUAUUUUAACAAGUUUAUCGCUUGCAAACUUGUUUCUUUUCAAUCUAGGUUUAACGCUUGCUAGCCUCCGCUUCCGACUGCGUCAAUGCAUACCGUAUUCUGACUGACGCGAACUCCCUCCACACUUUCAUUCCAUCAGACUUAUUGUGGAGAAAGGAGUUCACGUUGAAGGUCUCAGUGUUUGCUUGGCGACUAUUUCAGAAUAGAUUAUCAACAAAGGGGAAUUUAUUUUGUCGCGAGAUCAUACCUCAUGAGUCUCAAUUAUGUGUUAGUGUUUGCGGUAAGGAGGAAACAACCCAACUUUUAUAUUUAGGUUGCAUAAUGUUUGGUUCUAUUUGGAAACUUGUUCGAAAUUGUCUUGGAGUUCAUUUGGUCGAUCCGUUGAAUAUUGUUGAUCCGUUGAAUCACGUCGGUCAUUUAUGUUCUUGAUUUGGUUUGCGACUUUUUGAUCGAUUUGGAAGGAAAGAAACAUCAUGAUUUUCGAUGGCAAAGAAAAUGCUAUAUAUAUAUAUAUAUAUAUAUAUAUAUAUCUUUUUGAUAUCUUAAAGCAAAAGGAAAAAAGGGUCCUUAGCCAAUCUUUUAAGAAAAAAUAAAAUAGGGCUUAAAUAAAUUUUUGAUUGCAUAAAAUUUUGCAUUUAGUUCCUCUAAAAUUGAAAUUCUUAAAACUAAUGAAUAAAUUUAUUUUGUAUUUGGGGUUUAGGGUGUCACAUAGAUAAUUAUAUACGAGGUUUUUUUUAAAGGAAUUUAUAUAUAAGGUUAUAAUUGCACCAACAACAUAUUUUUCACCCGGAAAAAAGAGAGAAAGAAAAGGUUGUAAUUACAUGUUAUUAAAAAAAGAUAACAAUUUAUUUAUGGAAUUUUUUCCUAACUACUUUCUAGAUAAACGUAAUACUUUUUUUUUAUUUUUUUAUUUUGACCGUACUUUCUAGAAAAACGUAAUUUUUUUUUUAUUUUGAUCGGAAAAAUCAUAAUACUAAUUAUUUACAUUAAUUUUAUACGAUUGAGUCAAACAAAAAUUUAUUGCAUGUUUCCUUGAGAGAGGUAUAUAUAUAGCACAAUGGAGGUCAUAUUCAUCUCAAACAAAACAUUCAAUUAAAUAAUAUAUUACUAAAAAAAUGAAGUUCUCACACUACAGAAGAGUUUCAAUCAACCCUCUUAGUUAAUGUAUUUCGAUUGUAGUUCAAAAUUAUUUGUUGUAGUCUUGUAUUAAUUUUUUAUGUUUUUUUUUCUUCAGAUUAUACAUCAAAAAAAUCUCAUGGCGUUCGCUUCCUCGUCGCUAGCUGAAAAGAAGAAGGUUAUGUUCGUAAUGGGUGCAACAUACAUCGGAAAAACUAUACUUUUCAUCUACUUAGGUACUCAUUUCCUCUAUGAAAUCAUCAAUUCAAAUAAAAUUCAAAUUUAUAAAGAUCUUGACUUGACACCAACUUAGUACCAAAAUCUGAACGUUGUUCGAUUUUCACAUCACGUUAUGCAUCAUCAAUGAUCCUGAUAUGAUUUCAUUGUGAUUAAUUUUUUGCAAACACAUGCUUGAAACUCUAUAUUUAUAGGUGAAAAUUGACACCUAACCAUUAUUGUAAGAGGGUCACAUUCUUACAUUGAAAUAUUAGUUGAUUACCCAAUCAUUGAAUUUUGUUCAAAAUAAUAUUGUUGUUUUAUUUAGCUUGAUGCUUCUUUGCCUCGUUUGAUUUAAUAUUUAUACAAAAGAGGAGACCAAAUGGUUGAGGCAGAGAUUGUGGAUGAAAUUAGAGAAAAGGAAAAAUUGGAUUCCUAAGCUUGAUUGUUAUUUUGAGAUUGAAAAGGAAAAAUCUCUAAUCUUGUACACAAGACCUGCCUCGACCACUUGAUAAACUCUUUUGUCUACGUAUUGAAACAAAAUAGGCAAAUAAACAUCUAGCCAAAUGAAACAACAUUAAAUCUUUAAACAAAAUGUAAUAAUUGCAUCAUCAACUAAUAUUUAUAAGUGAGAAUUUUCCCUCCUAUAAUAAUGUCUAGGUAACAAUUUUCAACUCUGAAAUAUAAAGCUUCAAACAUGUGUUUUCAAAAAUCAAGCACAGUAAAAUCAUAAUCAGAAUUAUUGGUGAUACCUAAUAUGUGAUGUGGAAUCGAACAAUGUUUAUAUUCAGAUACCUUGUUUGUGACAAGUCAAGAUCCUUAUAGACUUAAAUUUUAUCUGAGUUGAUGAUUUCAUAGAGGAAUCGAGUAUCUAAGUAGAUGGUAAAUUUAUUUUUUCCAAUUCCAGUUGCUUCCAUUAUGAACAAAACCUUAUUCUUUUCAGCUAGUAUUGAGGAACAAAAAACCAUGUUUUUUUUUUUUUUUUUUAUGUAUAACCUAAGGAAAUGACAAUAAUAAAAAUAAUUAAAAACUACAACAAAUGAUUUUGGACUAGAAUCGAAAUGGAUUAAUCUUAUACAUGUUGUCAAUAAGGAUACUAGUUAUAUGAAGAAGAGAAUCAAUUGAAACUUUAUUUGUGCUAUAUAUAAUGAUUUAUGAUAUAUGGAGAGAGGGACGGCUGAAUAUGCAAAUUUGGAAUCAAUUUUGGAGAUUCAUGGAGGGCGGGUUUAUCAUCUUGGGUGUCGUAGGGGUGGCUGAGGUUCUAGGGCUACCCAAUAGUUUUAUGAUGUUGUUGUAGUAUUUUGAACAAAUUUGAUUUUUUUAUUUUAUGUUUGAAUAUUGGGUGUUUGUAACAUAUGGAUAAUUUGUUUUUAAUUUUAUGUUUGAAAUUGUGUUGUUUUUGAUCAUUUUCAUUAUAGUAUUUAUUUAUUUAUUCACGAAUGCAUGUUUAUAUCAAAAGAUUAUAUAAUCUGUAUGUAUCAGAGUGAAAAAAACUCUGUUUUUGUUAUGAUACCUUUCAGAUUAUAUAAUAUGAAAUGUCAUAAAACAAUUCGGAUUAUAUAAUCUAAAAUAUGCCUCUUGUGGGUUGUGGGGUGUUUGACACUUUUCGGAUUAUUUAAGCCAAAUUAUUUUAAGAAGUUUCGGAUUAUAUAAUCCAAAACGUAUGUUUAACUGAGACCUACACAAACAUCUCUAGGGUGCUUUGUCUUCCAAUAGUUUUUAUACUGAUUGGAUUAUAUAAUCCGAACCUAAGGUAUUUUGAGAAAAAAAAUAGGGCGCUCAAGAACCAAAUAGGGUGGAAAAAGUAAUGGCUAAUAUUGAUUGCCCCAGUAAGGAGCCAGAGCCUGAAAAAAGUACCAUACAUGAUUGAUAUUUGUGGAGGCAUUAAUAGUCACAAAACUACACGUGGCAAUUUCAUAUUGGUGGCUAAUGAUAAGGCUAGCACAAAAAUUUCCAUUCCUGUGUGGUUGAUAUGGCAGCAAAGUUUAUCAUAUUCACAACCAACAAAAUGGUAUUAUGAAGCAUUACCACAAUUUAUAAGACCAUAAUAUUGGAAAUAGAAAAUUAAAAAUAGUAUAUAUAUAAGUUUGAGUAUAGGUUUUGCAAUUCAAGCAGAAGUAUAUCUUACUAGUGAACUAAGGGAGAAAAACAUGGCUUCCUCUAUGAUGUCCUCUUCAGCUGUGACUACAGUUAACCGUGCCUCUUCGGUACAAUCCGGUGCGGUGGCUCCAUUCGUCGGACUCAAGUCCAUGGCUGGCUUCCCAAUUACAAAGGUCAACAAAGACAUUACCUCCAUUACAAGCAAUGGCGGAAGAGUAAACUGCAUGCAGGUGAGAAAAAACAUGCCUACUAUUUUAGUUUAUUUGAGUUUGUUAUUAGCAUAAUCGAAACAAUUUAUGACAUGUCCGUAAACUGUUUUCAUCUUAUAUUUUCAUAAGCCCUUCAAGAUAGUUUAUGAAAACAGGUUAUAGACUAUAUGAAAAAAGUUUGACUUUAAUUUAUCUUUUGUCAUAAAAAUAACUUUUACAUAUUUAGAGAUUCGUUGAAAAAUGCACACAAGUUUGUUAACCAUUUUGUGCAAUUUUAGGUGUGGCCUCCUAUUGGCAAGAAGAAGUUUGAGACUCUUUCAUAUCUUCCACCAUUGACCAGAGAACAAUUGGCGAAAGAAGUUGAAUACCUUAUAAGGAAGGGAUGGGUUGCUUGCUUGGAAUUUGAGACCGAGGUCUAAUAUUACUUGCAAUAUCUUCUCAAUAUUUAUAAUCGUUGUUUUGUCACGGCCAAGGUCACAGUCACAAAUUUGUAUUUAAAACCCUUUUAAUUUGUGUGUGGCCGAUGUGGCCUCAAUUGCUGUCGAACUGCGGUUUCAAUAACAUCAAAAACCGUUAUGUCGCGACCCUGAUCGUGGUCACGGACCUUUAUUUAAAAUCCAUUUGAGUUUUGAUGGUUAACAUAUGUUUGUUUUGACUUCUACUUGCUUACUUGCAGAAAGGAUUUGUGUACCGUGAGAACCACAGUUCACCAGGAUACUAUGACGGACGUUACUGGACAAUGUGGAAGUUGCCUUUGUUUGGAGCAACUGAUGCUUCUCAAGUGUUGAAGGAGCUUGAUGAAGUUGUUGUUGCUUACCCUAAUGCCUUUGUCCGUAUCAUCGGAUUCGACAACGUUCGUCAAGUUCAAUGCAUCAGUUUCAUUGCACACACACCUGAAGUUUACUAAAUUUGAGUGUUAAAUCACUCUUGGCUACCAUUGGAGGAACAUUUUUUUCGCUCUAUUUGUUCUGUUUGUAAUUUCCUUUUAUUUUUUUAAGGAAAUGUCGUACUGUGUUUUUCAGUUUUACCUUUCGGAUUUUAAAAUGCAAAUGGAUGGAUAAGAGUUGAUAAAUGAAAUGGCACUUCUAUUGAUUCUCAAAUUAAUAUUAUCUAUUGUUUUUAUGAGGUUAUUAGGCAAACUUUUACCAUUGCAUUCCAAAAAGUCUCAAAGCCAUUCGUGGUCUGAAAAUCAUCUUCAGACGCUAAAUAUCAGGCCUCUUACCUUCUACUGUUUGCAAUGGCUUACAUACCUUCAGUAUGAUUCCCAUUUACUUUUCAUUUUCCAAUCUUUAUUAUACCGUUGAUGGCCGGUCUGCUCACUACAUCGCAUCCAAUUCUUCCCUCUAUGAACGAACAAAACACAUCGAAAUUGACCGUCUUGUUAGGGAAAAGGCCUCAAUCGAAGUUGUUUCAUCUACUGCUUAUUUUCAUAGUUGAUCAUUUCCCAAGCUGAAAAUGCUAAAUGAUCAUAUACAAGAUUGUGACUGCACAAGUCCCAUCUUUUUCGGGACACUUAAUGAUUUCUUUUACCAUUUUUUAAUCCUAUAAUAAAGUUUGCAUGGUAAAGGUUAGGGGCACAAACAGAUUAAACAGUCUUGGUUUGAUUUUAUAUAAAAUAAUUUUUUUUAAAUACUUGAUUAUGAACUGAUUAUAAUAAUUUUGCUGUGAAAUAAAAAUGCAGGAUGAUAAUAAUUUUAAUGAUUAUGAAGGGAACAUUUUCUCAACUUACAUUGACAUCCAAAAUAAAAGAGAGGACCUGUUGAGAAUAAUAUGUAUAUAUCCUUAGAAGAUUAUAAAUGUAAAUUUAAAUAUAUUUAAAAUAAGAUAUCAUUAAGAUAUAACUAAUCAUUAUUGGUUGUAUUACAUUACAUCCUUUAACAGCAGCGCUAGCAUUGGAUAUUGAUCCAAGUACAAUGUGAGUGUUAGCAGAGCCGUUGUAAGACCCACGCGUGUCCGGCGGUUACGAAAUUAUAGGAAGUGUAAUCGUCGGGGAGAGAUUCGCGGAAACAUGGGAAAGAGACGUUACAGUUCGUUUGAACCGGUCUCUGUUGCUCCGAGUACUCCCUCGCGGGGAAGGAGAGUGUUGCGAGUAAUAGUACCAAAUGCAGUAUUUGGGUUGUAAUUGUUAUUGGGCCUAAGCAAUUGGGCCUUAGGUGUUUGGCCGGUCCAAAACACUAACAAAUCCAAAACUCUUUUAAAACUAGACUAUUACUUUUACCACCCUCCUCUGUGAAGCCUAAUCAGAUUUACUUUAUAUGUUUUUGAUGAUGUUCUUUAGCUUAGUUUAUCGUUUUAAUAAUUGCCUUAUGGCUAGCAUGUUAUAGCAUCCAUCAUCUAUGUGUCUUGAUCUAGGAUUUACUUGCGUCUUGUGCAAAAGUGUCAUUGUUCAUCUUUUGGCAUAUUGAAUCGAUUCAUCACUAUCAAUUACACUCAAUCAAUUCAUUUGAAGGUUGAAUCAUAUCAUUCUUCAUCCUUGACUCACUUAAAUCGAUUCACUUAUGCAUUGAAUCGUUUCAUCCUUCAUGCGUUCUUGGGUUGUCUUUUGCUAUCUGAAUCGAUUCACUCAUUUAGUGAAUCGAUUCACCAUGUUGAUUUUGUGCGAAAAUUUUGUCUUGUCACUUUUCUCUAUAUAGAGUCUUCCCUUCAUAUCUCUCAAUUUAUUGAAUCAUUUGCAACUAUUCUCUCUAGGCCUCAAAAACUCUUUGCACAUAAAUUCUUCAAGAUUAAACACUUUUUCUUAGAAUCAUUUGUUCUUUGAGUUGCAUUGAUUUGUUAGGGUACUAGUAGGGAUUGUAAGUUUGUUCUUUCAAGAAAAUUGAUUGGGCUUAAUCAAGGUUUUAAAGUGAAGUGAAUAAUCUCAUUCCACCUCCAAACGACUUGGGGGUCUUUCUAACCGUUCUUGAAGUCCAAGGGGAUUCGCUUACCAGACGUAGCAUUGAAGGCUCAACUGAAGAGUUCGAAGGGGUGCACGGGUAUUCAAGGAUUCAAAGAUUCAAGGAGCACCAAAUUCAAAGGUUAUUUGAAGUUUGGGAGAAUGUUUGCAUAGGGGUUGAAGAAUUAGGUUUAAUUUCAAGGAACUCUUGUAAACACAUUGUAUUUAACAUUUGUUACAUAGUGGAUGACCUUGGUGAAGGCGUACUUCAUCAAGAAGAGUAGACGUAGCUCUAGAGAUGACAAGAAAGAGCAAACUACAAUAAAAAUAUUGGUGUUAUCUCUCUUCCCCUAUCACCUUUACUUUUUACUAUUGCAUGUGAUUAAUUGAAUAGUUGUUAGGAUAAUUGCUAGUGUUGAUCUAAGUUGUUUUUCAUCAAAAGAUAAUCUAAUUCAUUGAAUUAGGUUUUACCUAAUUUGCUUAGAUCAAUUGAUUGCAACAUCUAUUCAAUUCUUCAGUUUCAUAUGCAUUGUGUUUUCAAUUGAUAGCUUAGCAAUUCUGUCCAUAUAGGUUUGGUUUGAAAUUGUCUAAAUGUUUUGUAUAUUGUUCAAGGUUUAUUAAAGUUUGAUUGUAUAUAAUAUUUGUAUCAUGAAUCUCUGAAUUCUAGAUAAAAUCGUAUCUCACAUAGAUUUAUCUUUUUGUAAAUUGUUGUGAUUGUUUCCGCACGAUUUCAAUAGUCAAUUUCGUUAAACUCCCUUUUUAUUAACUCCGGAAAAACUCCCCCCUCCCCCCCCCCCCCCCCCCCAGCUUAAAAACUAAUUAGCCAUAUAGACCAACACUCUAUUCUAGCACGCCCUGCUAAAAAGACAGAGAUACCUUUGGUCCUGAUUAUAUAAUCUGAACCAGAUCGUUGGAGUUUUUCGGUUUACAAAAUCCGGUCAAUUUCAAAAUGUGAUUUUUGGUGUUUUCUUUGAAGUCAAAGGUCUCUGUUGACCGUUAUAUAACCCCCGCAUAAGCUGCAAAGCAAUUGUUGGGUGAAGUGAAGAAUGAAGAAAUUUGUUGAAGAUGGAAGCCUAUUUAUAGCCUAAAAUAAGUCAUAUGUCAUAAGUACAGUCAAUGAAAACGUGUUUGUGGUGCUAACCAUCCAAAAAUGCAUUAAUGGCUCCACUAACCAGCCAAACCUUUGGUGAAACGCCACCGUCCAAAAGAAACUGAGGGUUUUCGAAUUAUAUAAUCUGAAAAUGACAAAAAGAUUCCAGAUUAUAUAAUUCGAACAACAUCAGAAUGCCUAUUUGGAGGGUUUUUUUUAGAGAGAUUUUUUGGAAUAUGACAUAAAAUAAUUAAUAAAUGGAUAAAAAAAACAAGUAAGCAGUAGAAAACAACAUAAACAACAAAAUAUUUUAGGAUAGUGUUCUAAGUGGUGCUUUUGAACUCGAUCUAGCUGGCCUGCCAACUGACAUAUUUCUAUCGGAAGGCCAACUGGAUCGAGCUCAUAAAAACCUUUUCGGAUUCUAAUCUGCAACAUAACGUUGAAAGACAAGGUGUUUCCAGAGGAUAGUUUUGAGUUAGAUCCGGCUGCCUUUCCAAUUGAGAUAUUUAUAUCGCAUAGGCAGAACAAUCUAGCUCAUAGCAACCUCUUGGUAUUCAAAUAGAGAGCAACAUCUUUGUAUCUAUCUAUAUAUUUUUGACAACAUGCUGAAGAUCUACAUAAUGAUGUCAAAUAAAGAGCUAUCUAUUUGAGACAACAUUAGGUAGAUCCUCGGCGCAAUGACAAAAAAUUCAUGGUUUCUUUGGUGUGUUUGGUUGUAAUUUUGACAGCAUGCUGAAGAUCUUCAUCACGCAGUCAAAUAGAGAGCUAUCUAUUUGUGAUCGUGAGAGAAAGAUCAUAUGUUUAAUGACAAAAAUUUGCAUGGUUUUCUUUGGUGUGUUUGUGUGUUUGGUUGGAAAUGAAGAUGAAAACCGGAAAUACUUAUUUAUACAGGUCUCUGGACAUUUUGGACCAUAGAAACUGUCGGUGCAUUGUGAUUCAUACAAAAGAAUCCUAUCUGAAGGAAUUCGGAUUAUGUAAUUUGAAUUGCACUUACAGCCUAUAAAAUUGAUUUGAAUUCGGAUUAUUUUAGCAUUUAACUAAACAUAUUUGACGUAAAGUAACACAUAAUGAAAAUUUAGAUAAUAUAUAUAUUAUUUAAAACAUAAUAAAACAUCUUAGUUGAACAAAAUAUAACUUACACGUAAUUAAAUAAAACAUAAAACACGUAACUAAAUAAAAAAUAGUACAUCAUCAUAGAUCAUUUAAACUAAUGUCUUCGUCUGGUGCAUCCAUUAAUUAGUUCCCUGAUCUCUUCGUAGUUCCUGGGCCGGAUCAAAAUUUGUUGAAUAUGUUAAACAAAUCUAACCAACGAAGCAUCCAACUUGAUUGGUCCUCUAGUACUGUACUGACCAAAGAUCGAGAACAUGGUUCUCACCUCGUCAUCUUUUUUGAGCUUCAUCCUGCUGAACUACACACUCCCGGCUAAGUCGGUCGAUGGACAUCGAUACUCUACAUCAUCCACUGAUGUAGUAUUUUUGCAUCAAACAAUUGUAAGUAUUUAUAUCGUCUCCUCAGGGACUAGUGCGAUAUCGCGGACCGUUCGACACCAAAUAUCAUUUCAAGUUAAACGAUAGUUGAUUGUUUGUUUUAGUAACUGAAUUGCAAAUGAUACAAUUGAGAUUAAUAGGGCGUAAAACUUGUUAGGAUUAGAGUUCCUUGAUCGAGCGUCGCACGUAACCUAAUGAGCAUACAUGGAUUCUAGCUUGUCUUUGAUAUUAUCACGUAUCCCUCGACAACACCAUUCGUGUCCAAACAAUAUUGUGAAAUCAAUUGUAUCAUUCAAUGGUCGAUGUCUCAAACUAUUGAAUGAUUCAAGAGUCGAUCUUAUCGUUCAAUCGAUGAUUUCUCAAUCUAUUAAAUGAUAAGAAAGCUUUAGGUUUGGAUACUCAAGGUGAUUAUCAAAACAUCGAUUCCAUGUCUAGAAACUAUGUUUUGAUAGAUGGUUAUUCUAAACCUAGAUUCAAAAGUAUUUCUCAAUCACAAUUAAAUCAAAGAUAAAGAUUAAAGUGCAAGAAUAACCUCAAUAUCAAUUCAAAUGCUAGAACCAUAUAUUUAUAGAUCAAACGAUUACAUGUUAAACUAUGAUCAAGUACCUCUAAUCCCAACAAAGGAGAUUUAGCUACUCAUUGUCAUGGAAGCCUUGCAAGAAUGAAUUGAAGAAGCAAGAUUCAUUACAACUUGUGAUGUCUCAACAAAGGAUGAAGAAUCCACUCUCUAUCACUCUCACUCUAUAAAGCACAAGCCCUAUCUCUCUCUCUCUAAGAAUAUUACAAGUGAAAACACAGAGAGAAACUAAGUGAAAAACUAUGUAAAAACUAUCUCCCUCUGAAAUGGUUGAGUGGGCUAUUUAUAGAAUUCUGAGUCUGCCUUCACUCGCCUCGCGAGCUGCUUCAUUCGCCAUGGCGAGUUGAAGUUUCUUCCCCAUUGGGUUUGUGCCACGUCAGCAUUUAGAGGCUAAACCGCCCUUACUCGCCUCGCGAGUCCUUCCAUUCGCCAUGGCGAGUAAGCUCGCCUUCUACUCGCCAUUGCGAGUUGGUGGCGUGUGAUCUUUGUUGCAUUCUGGAAUUGCUCGCCUUUGCUGCUUGCCAUGGCGAGUUGGAGGCGAGUGAUCUCCUUUUUCUGCCUUUUUGUACUUUUCUCGAUUUUCUUCUCUUUGCUUGAUGUCUUGAGUUCGAAUCCUGCACAAAUGGGUGAAGUAAGAUAGAUAAAGCGUAAAAGGGCAAUAAUCACUUAUUUCUCGGCUUUUCCCUUAAUAACUUGCAAAACAAGUAACAAAAGUGCCUAAAAUAUAUCACUUAAAUUACAACUUUCUAGCACUUAUCAUCCACCCUCCGUGUGUCUUUGUAGUUGAGUUUGAGGUUAAUUUGAUUCAGCCGACUCUUCAACCCGGAGAGGGUGAGAUCAGUGGGAAUCUUGAACAAAUGGGAUGGUUUCCCCUCGUUGUAGUAAACUACGGCUAGCUUGGUGUUCGGAUCAAAGACAGAGUUUUCCAUGGUUUUUUUGUGUGUGUAGUUUCUGGUUAUGAACACAGAGACACCUAUUUAUAGAGGUCCAUGGGCGUCCUGGACCAUAGAAAUUGUCGGUGCAAUGUGGACCACAUGAAAAAAAA
This 29944-nucleotide long non-coding RNA is filed under the name Medicago truncatula (barrel medic). RNAcentral describes it as "long non-coding RNA (MTRU_LNC004624)". Lineage: Eukaryota; Viridiplantae; Streptophyta; Magnoliopsida; Fabales; Fabaceae. The record is from RNAcentral.